Molecule: ribosomal RNA, 253 nt
Filed under: uncultured Blastopirellula sp.
Lineage: Bacteria; Pseudomonadati; Planctomycetota; Planctomycetia; Pirellulales; Pirellulaceae
Description: partial 16S ribosomal RNA
Rfam family: Bacterial small subunit ribosomal RNA
Source: RNAcentral
GACGAACCGUCCAAACGUUAUUCGGAAUUACUGGGCUUAAAGGGUGCGUAGGCGGCUCGGCAAGUUGGGUGUGAAAUCCCACGGCUCAACCGUGGAAUUGCGCUCAAAACUGCAGAACUUGAGGGAGACAGAGGUGAGCGGAACUUAUGGUGGAGCGGUGAAAUGCGUUGAUAUCAUAAGGAACACCGGUGGCGAAAGCGGCUCACUGGGUCUCUGCUGACGCUGAGGCACGAAAGCUAGGGUAGCGAACGGG